This is a non-coding RNA of Oryzias latipes (Japanese medaka), 673 nucleotides long. NCBI's taxonomy places the organism in Eukaryota, Metazoa, Chordata, Actinopteri, Beloniformes, Adrianichthyidae. The record is from RefSeq and is a predicted model, not a curated record.
CAGUUUCAUUCAACUAAACAUUCUGUGUCGUGUACAGAAAAAUAACAAUAAUCAUCAAUAAAAAUAAAUACAAACAGUGACCGAUGCGUCACAUGACCCAGGGUGUCCAUGACCACUUCCGGGUUACCGGGUUACUUCCGGGUAAACAAACCAACGUUAAUGUUGGCGUCGUGUGUGCUUCGUGUUAAUGUAUGCAUGGGGAUGGUGAGUCGGCAACCUAGUGUGCACCCAGGGCUACCUGCAGAGGGAUAGGGACGGAAUGAAAAGGUGGAGUACCUUGUCUCUCUCGGCUGCAGUUUCCGACUGAGGUACAGGACUGGUCGCUCUUCACCUGGGUCUCCCUGAGCCAGGACAGCACCAAGUCCGACUGCUGAGGCAUCCACUUGGACGAGGAACCUUUGAUCAAAGUCACGGGGUUUUUCUGCCUCUUCUCUGUAAGGGCAGUGAGAGGAGCUGCCAUGGUGGCGAACUGAUGGACAAACCGCCGGUACCAUCCAGCUAACCCCAGGAAGGAGCGUACCUCUUUCUUGGUGCGUGGUCGAGGGCAAUUGCGGAUAACUUCAACUUUAUCCACCUGCGGACGCACCUCACCACCUCCCAGCAGGUACCCCAGGUAACGAGUUUCCUUCCGGGCCCACUCACACUUGCUCACGUUUAAGGUCAGGCCUGCAUU